AGGGUUGUAGUUAAUUAAUAACAUUUGAUUUGCAUUCAAAAAAAAUUGUAAUAUUUAUCAAUCUACCUUA
RNAcentral lists this transfer RNA (70 nucleotides) under Hylemya vagans. Its description in RNAcentral is "tRNA-Ala". The record is from RNAcentral. Lineage: Eukaryota; Metazoa; Arthropoda; Insecta; Diptera; Anthomyiidae.